This 1337-nucleotide ribosomal RNA is filed under the name uncultured bacterium. RNAcentral's name for it is "bacterial SSU rRNA". It matches the Rfam family "Bacterial small subunit ribosomal RNA". The record is from RNAcentral.
AGAGUUUGAUCAUGGCUCAGGAUGAACGCUGGCGGCGUGCUUAACACAUGCAAGUCGAAUGAACCUUCGGGUUAGUGGCGGACGGGUGAGUAACGCGUGAGAAUCUGCCCUCAGGAGGGGGACAACAGCUGGAAACGGCUGCUAAUACCCCAUAUGCCGAGAGGUGAAAUGAAUUUCGCCUGAGGAUGAGCUCGCGUCUGAUUAGCUAGUUGGUGAGGUAAAGGCUCACCAAGGCGACGAUCUCUAGCUGUUCUGAGAGGAAGAUCAGCCACACUGGGACUGAGACACGGCCCAGACUCCUACGGGAGGCAGCAGUGGGGAAUAUUGCACAAUGGGGGAAACCCUGAUGCAGCCAUGCCGCGUGUGUGAAGAAGGCCUUCGGGUUGUAAAGCACUUUCAGUUGUGAGGAAAAGUUAGUAGUUAAUACCUGCUAGCCGUGACGUUAACAACAGAAGAAGCACCGGCUAACUCCGUGCCAGCAGCCGCGGUAAUACGGAGGGUGCGAGCGUUAAUCGGAAUUACUGGGCGUAAAGCGCACGCAGGCGGUUUGUUAAGCUAGAUGUGAAAGCCCCGGGCUCAACCUGGGAUGGUCAUUUAGAACUGGCAGACUAGAGUCUUGGAGAGGGGAGUGGAAUUCCAGGUGUAGCGGUGAAAUGCGUAGAUAUCUGGAGGAACAUCAGUGGCGAAGGCGACUCCCUGGCCAAAGACUGACGCUCAUGUGCGAAAGUGUGGGUAGCGAACAGGAUUGGAUACCCUGGUAGUCCACACCGUAAACGCUGUCUACUAGCUGUGUGUGCCUUUAAGGCUGUGCGUAGCGAAGCUAACGCGAUAAGUAGACCGCCUGGGGAGUACGGCCGCAAGGUUAAAACUCAAAUGAAUUGACGGGGGCCCGCACAAGCAGCGGAGCGUGUGGUUUAAUUCGAUGAUAAGCGAAGAACCUUACCAAGGCUUGAAAUAUAUCUGACAGCUAGUGAAAGCUAGUCUCCUUCGGGCAGAUAUACAGAUGUUGCAUGGCUGUCGUCAGCUCGUGCCGUGAGGUGUUGGGUUAAGUCCCGCAACGAGCGCAACCCUCGUCGUUAGUUACUAUGUCUAGCGAGACUGCCUCUAAAAAAGAGGAGGAAGGUGGGGAUGACGUCAAGUCAGCAUGGCUCUUACGCCUUGGGCUACACACACGCUACAAUGGAUAGUACAAAGGGCUGCAAAGGAGCGAUCCGGAGCUAAUCCCAUAAAGCUAUCCCCAGUUGGAAUUACAGGCUGCAACUCGCCUGUAUGAACGCGGAGUUGCUAGUAAACGCAGGUCAGCACACUGCGUUGAAUACGUUCCCGGGCCUUGUAGA